RNAcentral lists this ribosomal RNA (536 nucleotides) under Gleditsia japonica. RNAcentral's name for it is "eukaryotic LSU rRNA". The stretch from base 149 to 279 matches the Rfam family "5.8S ribosomal RNA", at positions 40 to 154 of the family's 154-position model. The record is from RNAcentral. Lineage: Eukaryota; Viridiplantae; Streptophyta; Magnoliopsida; Fabales; Fabaceae.
CCCCCCCUGUCGGGGACUCCCGCAGCCUGGCGCUGCCCGAGUCCGCCCGGCAGAAUAACAAACCUCGGCGCCGGACGCGCCAAGGAACUCGAACGAAGGAGCGCGCUCUCGGCGGCCCGGAGACGGUGCCCGCGCGGGGAGCGUCGCGAGAACUGUAUCCAAAACGACUCUCGGCAACGGAUAUUUGGUGUGAAUUGCAGAAUCCCGUGAACCAUCGAGUCUUUGAACGCAAGUUGCGCCCGAAGCCAUUAGGCCGAGGGCACGUCUGCCUGGGUGUCACGCAACGUCGCCCCCUCCCCGCCGCCCCCGAGGCGGCGCGUCGGGCGGGGCGGACGAUGGCCUCCCGUGGGCGACUCGCCCCGCGGAUGGCCGAAAGACGAGCCUGCGGCGUGGGCUGCCGCGACGGACGGUGGAAGAGCGAAACCUCGAGACCGGUCGCGCGCGAGUCCUCCCUUGGGGCAGGCUGCGAGACCCUUUAGCGUCGUCGCGUGUAGCGGGCGCUUACGAUGCGACCCCAGGUCAGGCGGGGCCACCCG